CCCCUUUUUGAACAGUUAAGGAAAGACACUUCAGGAAUAGAAUGCACACAGUCUGAAGCCCAUAUUCCAAACCGUUCAAAAACAUUUGUUUGGUGCAUAAGUUCAUAAAUGAUUGCAAUAAUUAACAGCUGAAUGAAUAUUGUUCUCCUUGAUGUACAUGGUAUGCCCUCUGGGGUAGAUUAUAUUAAUUGAUGACAAUUCUUCCUUCCUUCUCUGCCCAUGCCAGCAUUUACUAUAGGUAAAUUUUGAUAAAACUGUGAAAAUUCACAAACAUUUUUAUACAUACAUACGUUAUAUAAUACAUAUAUACAAGCAAUUUGUAUAUAUAUUAGCUGCAUUACAAUUUUGUUUUUUUUAUAUAGCCGGUUUACUGCCGAGUGUAUGGAGUCGGGGACAAUCUCCAGUGACGUUAAUCUGCGGGAGAAGGACUGGUCAGACUAUGAAGAAAAGGCUCAGGAGACUGUGAGAUUCUACGAACUGGCCCACUAGAGUGUGAAGCGCUAAGUCCUCUUCCUGUGUGCUUAUCUCUAAGAAUGGAGAACAGACAAAGGGCCCCAAGUAACACAGCUCACUGAGGCUAGUCUCCUCUCCGCCCGUCUCCUGGCAGCUGUACCAAGCCCUCAAAGUCUGCAUGCUGGGCUCUGUCGUAGCCUCCCAAACCUCGUCAAUAAAGCCCCUGUUCAUGCUCCACUGGUGCAUGAAAGUAAAGUCAGGUAGCAGCUCCUCCCUCCACUAAGAAUUUAUGGUGGUGGUCUGUGGCUGCUUCCUAGCACUUCUUCAUAGUUUAAAAUUCUGAGCCAAUUUGCAAAAUAUGCAAGAGCAUGCAGCUUCUAAGGGCUCUCUAGCUCUUGAGGAAGGGUCCAUCCAGAAGACCAAAGGUGUCAAGGCCAAUGGCAUAAAAAGCAGCUAAGCCUAUAGAAUGAUGUUGUGAGCCCAACACUUUAUUGACCAGCCUUGCUCUCACAUAAACCCAGGCAUCCCUGUUAGCCGGUAUCACUUCAGAUUCCAGGGCUAAAAGGGACUUUAGAGGUCAGCAGUCCAGUUCUGACACAAAUCUACUACACAGAAUUCCUGCCAGACAGUCAUCUGGUCUCUGUUCACUUGCUGUGAUGGGGCACAGUCUUCCUAUUAAGGGAGCCAGUAUGUAAGUUCUUUCACAUGCUAAGUCAGCCUCUAUGCUCCCCGUAGCUCCUCGCACUGGUCUUGGUUUGUCUCCACUCUUGCCACAUUUAUGUUAUUCUGUCCCCAGACAGCCCUGUGCAGAUGUGAAGGCAGCAGUCAAGGCUUCUAAGUCUCAUGGGCCUGGGCCUGGGUCUGAAGAUUCCCCAGACAGUGUCAAGGUUGUUCAGCUGGGUCAUGAGCAGAUGCUUAUGCCUUUACACCGGUGAAUUAGUCAUUUGGAAAACUUGUUACCAGGGUCCUUAUUUCUCAAUAUCUUGCUGGAGCCUGGAACUCUUUGGAAAUAAAAAAUAGCAUCUUCAAAAACUAAAAGCACAAAUAAGGAAAAGGGGAUCAGAAGUAUUGUGUGGGAUAAUGGAAUUUUAGAUAGGCCAGAGAAGGCCUCACUGGGGCCACUUUUGACUACAAACCUAAUGUUAGUGAAGGAGCUCACCAUGUGUAUAUCUGAGGGAAGAGUAUUCUAGGCAGCAGAAACAGAAAAUGCAAAGACCCUCAGGCAGAAAUAUGGCUAGUAGAGGAACAACGAGGUCAGCAUGGCUGGAGUAGAGUGGACAAAAUGGCAGGAAGAUGAUGAUGAGUUUUUAGAGGUAACUGGGUCAGAUCAUGAAAUGUCAAGGACACCAGUUUUUCCUCUGAGAUAAGAGUCAUUGGAGAUUUUGAGAAGAGGAGGGCCAAGACCUGACUUAUGUCUGAUCACUUUGGCUGUGUGUUGUGAACACUAAAGGACAAGAGCAGAAGCCCAGUGACAAUUGGGAAGCUAUUCUAGAAAUCCAUAUGACAAAACUGAGGUAUGGAGAUGUUCAGUAACUUGCCAAUGACCUCAUGAGUAAAGAGAGACAAAGCCAGCCCUGAAACAAGAGCUUCAAGCUCUGAAGUCCAUGCUGUUUUCCCUCACGAGGAAGCUCAGCAUUCUUCCACUGAAAGAAGGUAAUUAAAUGAAUGUAACAUUGGAUGCGGUCAACACUGCAGGUAACACAGGAGCAGUGGAAAGCUGUUUGUGAGAAGUGGGCAGCUAUACUGUCCUUGCUGUCUGUCACACUCUAAAGCAUGCCUGCAGCCCAGGAGGCAGGUCCACAAAAUAAAAAAUUAAAAAAAUUCCUCUCACUGAAUUCAAAGGAAUCCCUUUUAUAAUCCAGGGAGUUCACAGAAAAUGGUACUAUGUUAAGAUAUUUUUGUAUCACAUAAUUUCUCUUUGAUAUCUGGAAAAAAAGUCCUUGUAUCCAUAUCAAC
Long non-coding RNA from Equus asinus (donkey), 2409 nucleotides. The record is from Ensembl. Lineage: Eukaryota; Metazoa; Chordata; Mammalia; Perissodactyla; Equidae.